This 1091-nucleotide long non-coding RNA is filed under the name Calidris pygmaea (Spoon-billed sandpiper). RNAcentral's name for it is "lncRNA (ENSCPGG00000012685.1)". Lineage: Eukaryota; Metazoa; Chordata; Aves; Charadriiformes; Scolopacidae. The record is from RNAcentral.
CUUCACCACCACCACCUUUGCCCCCUGUGCAGGGAGGACGACCCACAGUGCAGGCCACCCAGGCUACCCCACCAUCAACUUCUUCCUCUGCACAACCGGGGAUCUCCCCCACAUUUUGUUUGCCGGGUGAGGAGGGCUCUUGCCCUCUCGAUUUCCUCCCCAAGACGGGGCAACCCCCCCUCAGACAGGGCUGGACUGCCUGGGGGCUCUCCCCCUUCUCCCUGCCUGAAGGGGCACUCCCCACGAUCACCUCUCCCCCCCGGGGAGAUGCUCCUCAUCCCCCAAGGGAAGGUUCUUCGCCCUCCUCCACAGCUCCCUGUGCAGGAGCCUCUGCCCCGGGCCCCUUCUCCACCUCACUGCCCUCGGCCAGCAGGCGCUUCCCUCCCUUUCCCCUGAGAGAAGGGCUCCGACCCCGGCCCUCCGCUGCGAGGCGGGGCCCCUCUACUGCCAGAAGCCCCUGGAGAAGGGGGGGGCUCUUCCCUUCUCUCCCCCCGCCCAGGCGACUGCGGCCGGCACUGACCCGUCUCUGCCGUCCUGCUCCUCUCCGCCAUAUUUGUUGUCAUCCCCCCCCUUCUCACUCACCCCCCCCAACACGGCGCGAGACGCUGCCUGGCCGUCGCCAUGGCAACAUACGUCACCGCCAGGGGAGUCCCGUGCCCACCCCCCUCCCUCUCCCCCUCCCUCCCCGCCUGCCCACAGGCCGCCAUGGCGGCGCGGCCAGCGGGGGCGGCGGGAGCGGACGGACGGUGCCCGGGCAGCCCAGUGGGGAGCUUCAUUAUGUGUGUGAGUGUUGCCCGUCUGUCUCCUUCUCCCAGCCCUAGCAGCCCGCAAGCCUGUGUGGUGACUAAAGAACAUGAGAAAGCAUAAUACCACAAGAGCAAAGACUGAAAGGAAAAAAAGAUUUCUGAUUGCUUUUUUUUUAAAAAAACAUGAAUAUAAUUCAAAAAAGUUGAAGACAGAGUGAUUUGCAUUACGCAUUCAAUACUUUCGAUUCAACUAGAGGUGGCUGCUGUCAAUACGUAUCUGUUGAAACCCCAAAGAUAUUCCAAGAAAAUCAAUAAAAAUCCAAUUUUAAAAUCCUGAUAUUUUCA